UUAUUCAACAAAGGUCUGACAAGAACAUACAUCAAACCACCCAAAGCCCCCUCUCACACCUACAAACCGUGAUAAUGUGGAGUGCUCUCACUCCCCAUAUCUAAAUCCGGUGUCGUCUCCGAUCCAACCACGUCUCCGAUCCAACCACAUGACGUAUCGGAACUCACAACCGGUGCAGCAGACCUAAAGCGUACACCACAUGCACACGUUUUAGAAGCCGC
Molecule: long non-coding RNA, 221 nt
Filed under: Hordeum vulgare
Lineage: Eukaryota; Viridiplantae; Streptophyta; Magnoliopsida; Poales; Poaceae
Description: long non-coding RNA (HVUL_LNC020541)
Source: RNAcentral